Molecule: transfer RNA, 64 nt
Filed under: Streptococcus pneumoniae 2070035
Lineage: Bacteria; Bacillati; Bacillota; Bacilli; Lactobacillales; Streptococcaceae
Description: partial tRNA-Thr
Rfam family: tRNA
About the family: Transfer RNA (tRNA) molecules are approximately 80 nucleotides in length. Their secondary structure includes four short double-helical elements and three loops (D, anti-codon, and T loops).
Source: RNAcentral
CUCAGUUGGUAGAGCGAUCUGAUUUGUAAUCAGAGGGUCGCGUGUUCAAGUCAUGUAGCCGGCA